AUUGAACGCUGGCGGCAUGAUUUACACAUGCAAGUCGAACGGUAACAGGCCGCAAGGUGCUGACGAGUGGCGAACGGAUGAGUAAUGCAUCGGAACGUGCCCAGUCGUGGGGGAUAACUACUCGAAAGAGUAGCUAAUACCGCAUACGAUCUAUGGAUGAAAGCGGGGGACCGUAAGGCCUCGCGCGAUUGGAGCGGCCGAUGUCAGAUUAGGUAGUUGGUGGGGUAAAGGCUUACCAAGGCAACGAUCUGGAGCUGGUCUGAGAGGAGGACCAGCCACAUGGGGAAUGGGACACGGCCCAGACUCCUACGGGAGGCAGCAGUCGGGAAUUUUGGACAAUGGGCGCAAGCCUGAUCCAGCAAUGCCGCGUGCAGGAAGAAGGCCUUCGGGGUGUAAACUGCUUUUGUACGGAACGAAACGGCUCUGGUUAAUACCCGGGGCUAAUGACGGUACCGUAAGAAUAAGCACCGGCUAACUACGUG
Molecule: ribosomal RNA, 482 nt
Filed under: uncultured bacterium
Lineage: Bacteria
Description: partial 16S ribosomal RNA
Rfam family: Bacterial small subunit ribosomal RNA
Source: RNAcentral